UCCUACGGGAGGCAGCAGUGAGGAAUAUUGGUCAAUGGACGGAAGUCUGAACCAGCCAUGCCGCGUGCAGGAUGACUGCCCUAUGGGUUGUAAACUGCUUUUCUGAAGGAAGAUAAGUACCUACGUGUAGGUAUUUGCCGGUACUUCAGGAAUAAGGAUCGGCUAACUCCGUGCCAGCAGCCGCGGUAAUACGGAGGAUCCGAGCGUUAUCCGGAUUUAUUGGGUUUAAAGGGUGCGUAGGCGGUAUAAUAAGUCAGUGGUGAAAGUCUGUGACUCAACCAUAGAAGUGCCAUUGAAACUGUUAUACUUGAGUAUAGAUGAGGUAUGCGGAAUGUGUAAUGUAGCGGUGAAAUGCUUAGAUAUUACACAGAACACCGAUUGCGAAGGCAGCAUACUAAGCUAUAACUGACGCUGAUGCACGAAAGCGUGGGUAGCGAACAGGAUUAGAUACCCUGGUAGUCCACGCCGUAAACGAUGAUCACUCGUUGUUGGCGACAUAAAGUCAGUGACUGAGCGAAAGCAUUAAGUGAUCCACCUGGGGAGUACGUUGGCAACGAUGAAACUCAAAUGAAUUGACGG
This 579-nucleotide ribosomal RNA is filed under the name uncultured bacterium. Its description in RNAcentral is "bacterial SSU rRNA". It matches the Rfam family "Bacterial small subunit ribosomal RNA", at positions 337 to 916 of the family's 1533-position model. The record is from RNAcentral.